GCGGUCGUGGUGGAAUUGGUAGACACGCAGCGUUGAGGUCGCUGUGGCUCAUAAGGUCUUGGAAGUUCAAGUCUUCUCGGCCGCACCA
RNAcentral lists this transfer RNA (88 nucleotides) under Wolbachia sp. Its description in RNAcentral is "tRNA-Leu". It matches the Rfam family "tRNA". From Rfam's summary of the family: Transfer RNA (tRNA) molecules are approximately 80 nucleotides in length. Their secondary structure includes four short double-helical elements and three loops (D, anti-codon, and T loops). RNAcentral also lists the same sequence under 1 other name. Lineage: Bacteria; Pseudomonadati; Pseudomonadota; Alphaproteobacteria; Rickettsiales; Anaplasmataceae. The record is from RNAcentral.